AUAGUCCCCGCUGCUGUUCGUCGGUUGCGGUGUCGUGAUUCUGCGUGCUCGGUGCUGUCUCCCGGUAAAGAAAUGCCGCCGCUGCCGCUCCACCGGUGUUCGCGGUGCCGGCGGGUGCUGCUGUCCCGUGGCCGCAGCCCAGCUUUCGCGGUGCCGGGUUUUGGUCCUUGCGGCGCGGCGGCGGCGUGCGGCGCAUACGCGCAGUGCCCGGGCGGAGCAGGAUGGCGGCGCGCAGGGCGCGGGUCCCGGCACCGGCGGCAGAGACCACGCUGAGGGUGUGGGUGUCCGUUCUGCCCCUGGGGACGCUGUUGACUGUGCCUGCCUCAGGCUUGUGUAGGCAAAGAGGGAGCGCUUACUGGCUGCGGAUGGGUCCGAGCUGAAGGUGGAGAGGCCAAAGAAAGGUGGAGGACAGCCCAGCGACAUGAGCCAUGGAAGGGGAAGGGACGGGACAAGUAGAAAGAAGCAUCUGAACUGUCAAAUUCUUUUGGCAGUGGCAGGAGCUGCGCUCCUUGUCCCGAUACACAUCCAUAUCUGUCCAUUCCCUGUUGGAGUGACUGGAGUGGCCCCGUGACCCACUGCUGAGGUGUCCCAGGGACAGGUCCAGAGCUGCGGAGCACGCUCAGUCGUGUAACUUGUUAUGUGUGUGACUAAAUAAAUCCUGCUUGUUGUCUCCUUUGGCCUCA
Molecule: long non-coding RNA, 683 nt
Organism: Strigops habroptila (Kakapo)
Lineage: Eukaryota; Metazoa; Chordata; Aves; Psittaciformes; Psittacidae
Exons: 4
Source: RefSeq, a predicted model, not a curated record